This 468-nucleotide ribosomal RNA is filed under the name uncultured bacterium. Its description in RNAcentral is "partial 16S ribosomal RNA". It matches the Rfam family "Bacterial small subunit ribosomal RNA", at positions 28 to 507 of the family's 1533-position model. The record is from RNAcentral.
GACGAACGCUGGCGGCGUGCUUAACACAUGCAAGUCGAACGGAAAGGCCCUGCUUUUGUGGGGUGCUCGAGUGGCGAACGGGUGAGUAACACGUGAGUAACCUGCCCUUGACUUUGGGAUAACUUCAGGAAACUGGGGCUCAUACCGGAUAGGAGCUCCUGCUGCAUGGUUGGGGUUGGUAAUUUUCGGCGGUUGGGGAUGGACUCGCGGCUUAUCAGCUUGUUGUGGGGGUCGUGGCUUACCACGGCUUUGACGGGUAGCCGGCCUGAGAGGGGGACCGGCCAAAUGGGGACGGGGAAACGGCCAAGACUCCAACGGGAGGAAGAGGUGGGGAAUAUUGCAAAAUGGGGGGAAGCCGGAUGCAGCAACGCCGGGGGCGGGAGGACGGCCUUCGGGUGGGAAACCGCUUUCGCAGGUGACGAAGCGUGAGUGACGGUAAUGGGUAAAGAAGCACCGGCUAACUACGUG